UACGUAGGGGGCAAGCGUUGUCCGGAUUUAUUGGGCGUAAAGAGCGUGUAGGCGGCCAGGUAGGUCAGCUGUGAAAACUCGAGGCUCAACCUCGAGACGUCGGUUGAAACCACCUGGCUAGAGUCCGGAAGAGGAGAGUGGAAUUCCUGGUGUAGCGGUGAAAUGCGCAGAUAUCAGGAAGAACACCAACGGCGAAGGCAGCUCGCUGGGACGGUACUGACGCUGAGACGCGAAAGCGUGGGGAGCGAACAGG
This 253-nucleotide ribosomal RNA is filed under the name uncultured bacterium. RNAcentral describes it as "partial 16S ribosomal RNA". It matches the Rfam family "Bacterial small subunit ribosomal RNA", at positions 524 to 776 of the family's 1533-position model. The record is from RNAcentral.